Long non-coding RNA from Ceratitis capitata (Mediterranean fruit fly), 511 nucleotides. RefSeq lists it as uncharacterized. The record is from RefSeq and is a predicted model, not a curated record. The transcript is spliced from 3 exons. NCBI's taxonomy places the organism in Eukaryota, Metazoa, Arthropoda, Insecta, Diptera, Tephritidae.
GAGUUUCACAUACGCAUGUAAAUAUGUAUAAAUAAUUUAAAUGGGCGUGCAUAUAUUAUUUACUUAAUUGGUUUUAUACAAUGAUGUAAUUCUGUUUAAUACAAGUUAUAAAACUACUAUUGAAGAGCGACCAAAGCAACGUUGGCCAAACCGCACACAAACGACCUUGAUUAGUCUCGCUUUCAUGCUAUGCGAUAUUGUUGUGUUUUGUAGUAAAUUGCGGUAUACACGACCUUUAGUUAUUGUCCAAUGGGAUGCGCAGCAUGAAUGAAGCUCCAGUCGCCAAUCUUCGGGCUUUUGUAUCUAUUUUUACAAUUCGUCUUGGAAUUGCGGUCAUAGUGUCAAUAAGAUGACGAAUGGGUGUUAACGAAUUGUUGGCGUUUGCGAUUUUUCUUCAAACAAAGACCUACCAACAUUUCGUAUUCGGAAUAUUUAUAUAAAUGCAUAUAUAUGUUAAUUACAACUGGAAAGUUGUCCAUUGGGAAUAUGGUGUUUAGAAUAAAACAAACAA